This 504-nucleotide ribosomal RNA is filed under the name uncultured bacterium. Its description in RNAcentral is "partial 16S ribosomal RNA". It matches the Rfam family "Bacterial small subunit ribosomal RNA", at positions 29 to 523 of the family's 1533-position model. The record is from RNAcentral.
AUUGAACGCUGGCGGCAGGCCUAACACAUGCAAGUCGGACGGUAGCACAGAGAGCUUGCUCUCGGGUGACGAGUGGCGGACGGGUGAGUAAUGUCUGGGGAUCUGCCCGAUAGAGGGGGAUAACCACUGGAAACGGUGGCUAAUACCGCAUAACGUCGCAAGACCAAAGAGGGGGACCUUCGGGCCUCUCACUAUCGGAUGAACCCAGAUGGGAUUAGCUAGUAGGCGGGGUAACGGCCCACCUAGGCGACGAUCCCUAGCUGGUCUGAGAGGAUGACCAGCCAGACUGGAACUGAGACACGGUCCAGACUCCGACGGGAGGGAGCAGUGGGGAAUAUUGCACAAUGGGCGCAAGCCUGAUGCAGCCAUGCCGCGUGUAUGAAGAAGGCCUUCGGGUUGUAAAGUACUUUCAGCGGGGAGGAAGGCGAUGUGGUUAAUAACCGCAUUGAUUGACGUUACCCGCAGAAGAAGCACCGGCUAACUCCGUGCCAGCCGCCGCCGUAA